RNAcentral lists this long non-coding RNA (404 nucleotides) under Ananas comosus (pineapple). RNAcentral's name for it is "long non-coding RNA (ACOM_LNC028638)". Lineage: Eukaryota; Viridiplantae; Streptophyta; Magnoliopsida; Poales; Bromeliaceae. The record is from RNAcentral.
CGAUGGAUCGGGCGAGGGCGAUCUCUUCGGGGGAUUUGGCGGAGAGCACGAGGAGGGUGAGGGUGCGGUGCUCCCCCAUGGCGCCGGAGAGAGAGGAGGAGGGCCUGCUAUGCGGCGGAGGGCGGCGGAGGCGGAGGACGUGGCCGCUGCGGCGGCGGCGGCGGAGGAGAGGAGGAGGNAUCUCUUCGGGGGAUUUGGCGGAGAGCACGAGGAGGGUGAGGGUGCGGUGCUCCCCCAUGGCGCCGGAGAGAGAGGAGGAGGGCCUGCUAUGCGGAGGCGGAGGACGACGACGGCGGCCGCGGCCGCUGCGGCGGCGGCGGCGGAGGAGAGGAGGAGGCGGUGGGCGAGGGGCAUAGUUGUUAAUAAUUCAAACCGAGUCGAACGCACUCUCCUAGAUAUAUAUA